ACACCUUCGGGUGUGAAUUAGCGGCGAACGGGUGAGGAACACGUGAGAAAUCUGCCUUCAACACUGGGAUAACUCCGGGAAACCGGGGCUAAUACCGGAUAUGAAAUCUGCGGGCAUCCGCGGACUUGGAAAGUUUUUCGGUUGAAGAUGAUCUCGCGGCCUAUCAGCUUGUUGGUGAGGUAAUGGCUCACCAAGGCGACGACGGGUAGCCGGCCUGAGAGGGCGACCGGCCACACUGGGACUGAGACACGGCCCAGACUUCUACGGGAGGCAGCAGUGGGGAAUAUUGGGCAAUGGAGGAAACUCUGACCCAGCGACGCCGCGUGCGGGAUGAAGGCCUUCGGGUUGUAAACCGCUUUCANCAGGGAAGAAGCGAAAGUGACGGUACCUGCAGAAGAAGCACCGGCUAACUAUGUGCCAGCAGCCGCGGUAAUACAUAGGGUGCAAGCGUUGUCCGGAAUUAUUGGGCGUAAGGAGCUCGUAAGUGGUUCGUCACGUCGGAUGUGAAGCUCUGGGGCUUAACCCCAGACCUGCAUUCGAUACCGGCGAUCUUGA
This 555-nucleotide ribosomal RNA is filed under the name uncultured Actinomycetes bacterium. RNAcentral's name for it is "bacterial SSU rRNA". It matches the Rfam family "Bacterial small subunit ribosomal RNA", at positions 74 to 645 of the family's 1533-position model. The record is from RNAcentral. Lineage: Bacteria; Bacillati; Actinomycetota; Actinomycetes.